RNAcentral lists this ribosomal RNA (572 nucleotides) under uncultured fungus. Its description in RNAcentral is "eukaryotic LSU rRNA". It matches the Rfam family "Eukaryotic large subunit ribosomal RNA", at positions 54 to 651 of the family's 3401-position model. Lineage: Eukaryota; Fungi. The record is from RNAcentral.
AGGAAAAGAAACCAACAGGGAUUGCCCCAGUAACGGCGAGUGAAGCGGCAACUCAAAUUUGAAAUCUGGCUCCUUCGGGGCCCGAGUUGUAAUUUGCAGAGGACGCCUCGGGUGCGGGUACCUACCGAGUUCCCUGGAACGGGACGCCAUAGAGGGUGAGAGCCCCGUCUGGUAGGACACCCAGCCCAUGUGAGGCUCCCUCGACGAGUCGAGUAGUUUGGGAAUGCUGCUCUAACGGGAGGUAUACUCCUUCCAAGGCUAAAUACCGGCUGGAGACCGAUAGCGCACAAGUAGAGUGAUCGAAAGAUGAAAAGCACUUUGAAAAGAGAGUCAAAUAGCACGUGAAAUUGUUGAAAGGGAAGCGCUCGCUACCAGACUUGGGUUCGGCGGUUCAACCGGGGCCACGCCCCGGGGCACUCCGCCGUCCCAGGCCAGCAUCAGCUUUCCGUCGGGGGCAAAGACGUCGGGAAUGUGGCUCCCCUCCGGGGGAGUGUUAUAGCCCGGCGUGUCAUACCCUUCGGGGGGGUACGCGCUUCUGCAAGGAUGCUGGCGUAAUGGUAGCUAGUGACCCG